GGAGGUACACCUGAGAGAUAGAAUGCAUGUUUAAUAUGCAUGAGGGUCCUGGGUUCAAUCCCCAGUACCUCCA
This 73-nucleotide transfer RNA is filed under the name Camelus bactrianus (Bactrian camel). It matches the Rfam family "tRNA". From Rfam's summary of the family: Transfer RNA (tRNA) molecules are approximately 80 nucleotides in length. Their secondary structure includes four short double-helical elements and three loops (D, anti-codon, and T loops). Further hydrogen bonds mediate the characteristic L-shaped molecular structure. tRNAs have two regions of fundamental functional importance: the anti-codon, which is responsible for specific mRNA codon recognition, and the 3' end, to which the tRNAs corresponding amino acid is attached (by aminoacyl-tRNA synthetases). tRNAs cope with the degeneracy of the genetic code in two manners: having more than one tRNA (with a specific anti-codon) for a particular amino acid; and 'wobble' base-pairing, i.e. permitting non-standard base-pairing at the 3rd anti-codon position. Lineage: Eukaryota; Metazoa; Chordata; Mammalia; Artiodactyla; Camelidae. The record is from Rfam by way of RNAcentral. RNAcentral also lists the same sequence under 1 other name.